AGUUUCUCUAAUUCUUCGUCAAUUUAUCCCUUUCUGCACCCAUUGUAUAAAAAAAAUUUAAUCAACGUGUGGUUCGUUUGAUCUCAGUACUUCAUUGGUUAAAAUCCGAUUAUGACGUCGAAUUUUCUUGCUUUCCUCUGAAUUUCCUAUUGUGACGGCAUGAACAAAGGCGACCAUGCCUGAUGACGUCACAUAGAAAGAACACACCUUUUUGCAGAUCAUUCGAAAAGAAGGAAUAAGUUUGCCUGCAUGAUGUUAGAAAAUCAUUAGCGAAACAGAUUUCACC
This 286-nucleotide long non-coding RNA is filed under the name Mytilus galloprovincialis (Mediterranean mussel). The record is from RNAcentral. Lineage: Eukaryota; Metazoa; Mollusca; Bivalvia; Mytilida; Mytilidae.